RNAcentral lists this long non-coding RNA (6341 nucleotides) under Homo sapiens (human). RNAcentral's name for it is "HSALNT0350944". Lineage: Eukaryota; Metazoa; Chordata; Mammalia; Primates; Hominidae. The record is from RNAcentral.
AAGUAAAAGUUUUGAACUACUCAAGAUUCGUAAUUUAACAUAACUUUUAUUUCUGAAUAUUCUAUUUUUAAGUGGUAGAACCUGCAGAUUCUUUCACAAAACACUUAUCAAUUCUUAUAAAUAAUGGUAAAUUCCCUUUGAAUCCAGAAAAAGUACACAGGAACAUUUUACACACCCAAGUCAAACCCCAAGGCCAAUUUGAAUAAAGUGAAAUUUGGUUAACAUGACAAGUUAACUUUUGUCAUCCUUUACUGAAAUAAUUUUUUGACAGCAUUUUUUAUAUGUUGGAAAUAGGUGUUGUUUUUGUUGGUUAAGUAUUUUCAAACUAAGACAUUUCCUGACUUCAUUUACUGCUAUAAAGUUUAUAGUGAUCUUUUAAAAUGAUAAUAUUUUUAAGUAUUAAUGUUCAAAAAUAUGUACUGCAGUAAAUAAAAAAACUAUCAACCUAUUGAUUUCUAAGGUUCACUUUUACUCUACAAUUCUGUCCUUUUCUGUGGGAAUUUUAUAUUUCUUAUAACAGAUGCACCAGAGGGUGCUGUGCUGUUUGCAACAUGAGAUUAUUAUCACUAAGAAUGUGAACUCACUAGAACUUUUAUUUAAAGAAAAAAAUUUUUAAUUAUAUAUGCAUUGAAGCAUAUAAUAGGCUUAUUUUUAUGGAGUUUAACAUACUAUCUUAAUUGGCAGUUUUACAUCAGAACCUAACUUCGUGUACUAAUACAUAUUACCGCAACAUAUAACAAUAUAAAGAUUGAUAUCUUUGGCACUGUCUGGCAUUAGUCCUAUAGGCAUAUAUGUUGAUUAUCUUAUGUAGAUAUUUUAAUCUUUAUUUCAAAACUUAGGUUACCCUGAGAAUCAUACUAUUUGGCGAUAUGUGGCUUUAUACUUCUUAAAUUUCAUAUGAUUAGCACAUAUCAAUAAUUGUCCAUUCUUAUAACACUUUUACAUGGCAUAGUGAUAUGCUUUUUAUUGUAUAAUCUUUAAAAAAACCACUGGAAAAAUAAAUGGCAAUAGUGGUUAUCAGGCUAAUUCAUAAUAAAAUAGUAUUGACAUUAUCUAGAUAAUUCUGGCUGGUUGUAUUGGUUCACAUUUAUAAUCCCAACACUUUGGGACUGAGGCAGAAGGAUCACCUGAGGCUAUGAGUUCAAGAGCAGCCUGGGCAACAUAGCAAGAUUUCAUUUCUGUAAAAAAAAGUAAAAGAAAAUUAGCCAGCCUUGCCGGUGCGUGCCUGUAGUUCAAGCUACUCAGGAGACUGAGGUGAGAGAAUUUUUUAGCCCAGGAGUUUCAGGUUACAGUGGGCUAUGAUCAUGCCACUGCACUUUAGCCUGGGUGACAGAGCAAGACCCUGUCUCAAAACACCAAAAACAGAAACGAAUGCAAUCCGUACUUCAUGCUGUUGGAAUAGGCUAGUUUGAUUGUUUAAUUUGGCUUAUUAUCUGAAAACUUUUAGGUUCCCAGCCCUACUGUGUGCCAUAUACUUUUAAACUGGGAGUGAUCUUAUAUUGCUUUUUGUAUUUUAUUUGUUCAGUGAGAGAUUUUUAGGAGAAUACUGAAUCCAAUCUUGGGCUACUUCUUGUAUCAUCGACUCUUUUCACAGCAAUAUAUACUCUAAAAGACAUACUGAAACAGUGAUACCUUCCUUAAGUAAGCUUAGAAAGAUACAGUUACAGCAUAUAAACUUUUUAAUCUUGAUAAUGGAUUUAUCUGUACUAGUCCAUAUUUUACUAUAAUUAGUUAAUUGUGAUAUUUUUAUAAAAUAAUUAGCCCCAACAUAUCAAUUAGACUGACUCUCAGCUUAGCCACCUCCUCUGCUUCCUUUCGCCAGUGAAUUUGACACAGAUUUAAAAGGAACUUUUGGGAAAAGUUUAGGAAAUGUGAUUUGGAUGGUCAGGUUAUGCAGUCAUACAUUACUUAAUGAUAUGGAUAUGUUCUGAGAAUUACGUAGUUAGGUGAUUUCAUCAUUGUGUGAACAUCAUAGAGUGUACCCAACACACACCUAGAUGGUAUAGCCUGCUACACGCCUAUGCUAUAUAGUAUAGCAUAUUGUUCUCGUCUAUAAACCUGCGUAGCAUGUUAUUGGACUGAAUACUGUAGGCACUUGUAACUCAGAGAUAAGUAUUUGUGUAUCUGAACAUAUCUAAACGUAGAAAAGAACAAUCAAUACUGUUUUUGUGCACUGAUUUUUGCAUUAUCCAUCUCUUGGAGGAUCAUUAGGAACAUUUAGUAUUUCCACCUUAGUGCUAUUUUCUUGAGGCAAAGAAAGAUUAGGGGAACUGUCUGAUGAAGUUCUUUGAAUGACCUUCGUGUAGUUUUGUGAGCAAUUUUUAAUAGUGUCUCACAUUGUAUGAUGAUUUUUAGAGGCUACUUUCAGUUAAUAAAGGCCAUGAAUGCUGAAAUUGAAUUAAAUUGUAGUUAAAGACAAAAAUUGUAAUUCAUUCCAAUUAUAGGAGGUUAAAAUAUUGUGCUGUUGGAUCAACAUUUGAUCUCCUUAUUUUUAGAAGUCUGCCAAGUUUUGAAUUGUAAAACCUUUUAAAUAAUAUUGAAUGAGUAGAGCUGUAUAGUAGUUGUGGGUUUAUAUUUCAGCAAAGAUUUGAGUGCCAUAUGUCUUGGAAGUAAGGUGGGAUUCUUUUAUCUUGGAACUUGGAAAGAGAUUUAUUUUAAUAUUUUGAUUGGGUUAGGUUUGCUUGAGCAUUUUUGGGGGUUGAUAGAAAUGCAAAUGACUAUGGACUGGAGAUACAGAUCAGAGUAAUUUGUGAGAGGAGAACAUAAAGGAAGAGACAUCUAAGAGCUAAUGUACUGAUAGUUUAUGAUAUCACUCAAAGCAGUUUAAUAUUUUGUGGUUUAGUAUCUUCAGGGAAUGAGGAGGUUCCUUCUCUUAGUUUUUUUAUUUGACUGAGGCCAGACUGGUAUGAAAGAAGUUUAUUUUACAAUUCUAAAAUCUAUAGCCAAAAAAAAAUCGUUAUUCAUGUAAUAAUGGUCUUACUACAUGAAACUAUUCUAUAAUGAGCAGACUAGUAUUAUAACAAAUAGUGAUUAAUGGCAUUUUAAUAAACAACACAAAAUUUAUACCUAAAUCUUUUUAAAAGCUGAUGUUUCCUUGUUUGAACCUAAUUAAAUGAUUAAGAUAUGAAGAGGGUUAUAUAUAAUUCUAACUGACAUUAGGAAACAUCUUCAUUAUGUAAUUCUGCCUAUUAGAUUUUUAUACUUUUCAAAAGUAAAUAGAAGAUACAGUGUAUGAAGAAAACACCAGUAUAAAGUUUAAUGAGCCAAACAAUAUGUGAAUAAAACGUAAAUUUUGGUGUCAGAUACUCAGUUUGGUGUCAAAUAUUCAGCAUUAUGUGCCUGUCAUCCAUUAUGAAAUGUACAGUUUCACAGUAUUCGAGGCUAUUCUACUGUAUUGGACUACUUAAAAAAUGUUCUUUGGUCAGAUGUUGCCUUUACACCUCUCAGUGUACUUCAGCUCUCCUUUAUUGUUGAUUUCUUGGCCUUUCUUUUUUGGAUAGUUGUUCCACAUUCCUCUGUUUGUUGCUCUGGGGUACUUUUAGAGAAAUAGUUAAUUUCUUUUACUCUGCUUCCUGUAGUGUGUAAUGAGAAGAAAUGAAAGCAACCAUUGAAGGACAGAUAACUGGCUCUUUAAAAAGGAAUAAGGUAGUGCAGUUGACAGGUUAUUUAAAGGGUUCCCAGCUCAGAAUAGUUAAGUUGAAGGGCUAAAUGGUUCCAAGAAUGUAGAGAAAAUGUCUCACUUAAAAAAAAUUAACUUUCCAAAGUUGCAGGAUGUGUCUUGAAUUGUAGGCCAAUCACUCCUGAAAAGUAUUAAGCCCUUUAAACACACUGGUUGGACCCAUAGAGGGAAGCCUACAGGUUUAUUAGUACUCCUUAUCCUGAAAGCACAGCAUACCCUUUUAGGUUGCACAGCAACAGACUCCUAGCAACCGUAAUAGAUUGAAUUUCUAAGAGUGACCAGGCCGGAUGUAAUAAUAAAGCAAGAGGUACAAACAGUUGUCAUGGUUUUCUUUUCACGCAGCUCCUUGUAGUUUUAUGUGAUUCAAGGGAUGUUCAUAUAAAACUGAUGAUUAUGAUAAACUUAAAAUUUAUCUAAGAAAACAGGCUAUUUGAACUGUACAUGAACAACAUUUUUUGAAAUUAAGAACUAAUAAGUAGUGGAGCACAGAAUUUAUUAAAGAAGAGUAAAGUGUUAAAAUAUAUAAUCCUUUACAGCGACAGUAAAAGUAUCGGUGAUAUUCCUAAGAGUGUAACAUUGUGCUUCUUUGUGGUAUAGGAUAUGAGGAGAGUUUUGCAGGAGAGGGUAGCAGCUGAAAAUAGUAACAUGGCAGUAGACAAUCAGAAACAAAAUUGUUUUCAAAGAGGAAUGUUAUGUACUGUAUGUUAAGUCAUUUUCAGUAUUGGGCAAUUUAAAGUUAGAAUUCUUCAUAUUGAUAGAAUUACUAGGUGAGAAAAACUAAUUAAACUACCAAACUUGUCCAGACUCUCACUAUUGUCUACCUCCAUUUUUCAUAUCCUGGGCUCUUUGCCAUAGCAUGCCCACAAGAUCAUCCUGCAGGCAAUGUUGCCCCACCCCUUGCAAGCUAUCUGUUGACUACCCUGUAGGCGUAGAGUUGAGUAUGCCUGAAUCUCCAUCUGUCAUGAGGAGUAUAGUCAAGAACUUUGCAUGGGAAUUUGGGGUCCUGGGAAUGUGCUGAAGUAGAGUCUGAAGGACUCGGGGAGCAUGGCCCUGGGCUGUGCAGACUUCUUGCCUCCCAAGGAGGUACCUGGCCAGAGGGCCAAAGCAAGCUCUCUAAAGUGAGUGGCCCAAGGGCAAUGGGCCCUCUCGCCUGAGUCUCACGGUUGUGCUGGAAGGGACAUCUGACAUGAGUGUCAAAUGAGCAGGGCUUAUUUACUCUUAGUUAUGGGGUAUGAGAAAAUGUGAGUGAAAAAAGAUGAAAGAUCACUGGGUUUCAGGAGAAUUAUGGAGCCACUGAGAAAGUAGGACAGUAUUUGGGAGUUGGUAGAAUGGGACCUGAAUGUAGAAUAGCCAUGUUUUGCUCACCGUUAUAUCCUCCAGCACCUAAUUACCUUCUAGCACAUUGCCAAGCAUCUAGUACUGAUUCAAUAAAUUUUGAAGGGCAGAGUAGAUAUUUUGAAUAGUUGUGCCAGAGAUGAAAAUAAAGUCAUUGUAGAAUAUAGAAAGAAACAAGGAAAAUAAGGUCUUGUGGGUGAGGCCAAUGUAGCACUUUGGAUUGUAGGUAGAUAGCAUCGAUUAGCAUGGUCAUCUGUAAACUAUUAGUAUGGGGAGACUGUAUUAUAUAUUUAAUUUUUGUAUGUGUGAUACCAAACAACUAGUCUUUCUUAAAUGAAUAAUUGAAUAAUAUACAAGAAGGAACUUUUAAGAAAUGAAUUGGAUUUUAAAGUUAAGAUGAGUGACAGAAAUUUGUAUCAUCAGUAAACUGGUAUACCUGAGGAAGUUGUAAUCAUAAAAAACAAAGAGAUCCUAAGCAACUGUGGUUUUUGCUCACAAUGAGAUAUGAAACAGUGAAAGAUAUGUUCAAAGAAUAGGUUUUAUUUGUAACCUAUUUGGAAAGAAGAACACAGAUGACUGUAGACUGGCCUAAAAUUUUCACUUGAUAUUUGCAAGGUGUAUAUAGGGAAAGGUAGUAGGAGAAAAGGAUUAGAAGUAAUGGAGUAGGGUGAAUUAUAAACAUUUAUAACUGCAGAUAUGUUUGACUCAUGUUGCUCAAAAUUGUUAAGAAGUAUUGUGUAGUCGUUUAGUUAAUAACAUAUAAGGCCUCAUGUCAGAAAAUAUACUGAGAGUAAAGUAAGAAAAUGUAAUAAUAUGGUUAAAAUUGCCAAAUUCUUUUCGAGAAUCCAAGUGUGUUGAUUAUUGUAGAUUAUUACAUUUUUGAUGUAUCUGGUUUGUUAUCACCUAAAUACACAGCAAACACCUGUGAUUGUUUUAGUGAUCCUUGUCCUGUCUUCUUCAAGUAAUCUCAAAUAUGUGUAUUUAGACUGUUGCCUAUUCAUAUAUACUCAGCUGUGCCUGUUUGCUUUGUUACUUUUCUAUGUCUAAUGGAGCAAUAUAAAAAUUUAUGGCAACUGUCACUUAAUGUCACCUUUACCUUUAAAGAAAAAAGGUAAAGCCAAAUCAUGCCGGGUAACUACGAUGCUCUUUAUAGUUAACUAAAUUAUCAGAUAUACGUUGUAAUAAGUUGAUCUCUGAUAUCAUGGGCCAAAUUUAGGGAACAUACAUAAACACAUACAUGUAAGUAUGUUUGUAUAUCAUUGCUACUCCACAUUUACUUUAUUAGCCAAUAAAGAUCAUUAGUUUAAAAAUAACUUGUGUAUUCUCC